UUAUCGGAGAGUUUGAUCCUGGCUCAGGACGAACGCUGGCGGCGUGCCUAAUACAUGCAAGUCGAGCGAACAGAUGGGAGCUUGCUCCCUGGUGUUAGCUGCG
This 103-nucleotide ribosomal RNA is filed under the name Bacillus amyloliquefaciens. Its description in RNAcentral is "partial 16S ribosomal RNA". It matches the Rfam family "Bacterial small subunit ribosomal RNA", at positions 1 to 100 of the family's 1533-position model. Lineage: Bacteria; Bacillati; Bacillota; Bacilli; Caryophanales; Bacillaceae. The record is from RNAcentral.